GAUGAACGCUGGCGGCGUGCGUAACACAUGCAAGUUGUACGACGGUGCCAUGAAGUGGAGACGCGGAGUGGUAUACGGAGUAGCGGACGGGUGAGUAAAGCAUGAGGAGCUGUCCUGUCGAGGGGGAUAACGUUCGGAAACGGACCCUAAUACCCCAUAGUCCGAGAGGUUAAAGGCAGAGAUGCGCGACGGGAGGUACUCGUGUCCUAUCAGCUAGUUGGUGAGGUAACGGCUCACCAAGGCGACGACGGGUAGCCGGCCGGAGAGGGUGACCGGCCACACUGGAACUGAGAUACGGUCCAGACUCCUACGGGAGGCAGCAGCUGGGGAAUAUUGGGCAAUGGGAGGAAUCCUGACCCAGCGACGCCGCGUGAACGAAGACGGCCUUCGGGUUGUAAAGUUCUUUUAUGUGGGAAGAAGGAAGUGACGGUACCACAUGAAUAAGCCCCGCUAA
RNAcentral lists this ribosomal RNA (454 nucleotides) under Synergistetes bacterium oral taxon 359. Its description in RNAcentral is "bacterial SSU rRNA". It matches the Rfam family "Bacterial small subunit ribosomal RNA", at positions 28 to 500 of the family's 1533-position model. The record is from RNAcentral. Lineage: Bacteria; Thermotogati; Synergistota.